Molecule: ribosomal RNA, 420 nt
Filed under: Psallus cinnabarinus
Lineage: Eukaryota; Metazoa; Arthropoda; Insecta; Hemiptera; Miridae
Description: partial 16S ribosomal RNA
Source: RNAcentral
GUCUCUUAAUUGGAGUCUGGAAUGAAUGGUUGGAUGAAAAAUUUACUUUCUUUAUUUUAAAAAUAAAAAUUAAUUUUUAGUUUAAAAAGUCUAAAUUUUGUUAAAGGACGAGAAGACCCUAUAGAACUUUACUUUUUUUUAUGUAAUUUUUUAUUUUAAAAUAAUUAAUUUUUACUUAAUAGGGAGUUUUGUUGGGGUGACAAAAAAAAUUUAAUAGCUUUUUUUAUUUUUAUCAUUUAUUUAUGAUUUUAGUUGAUCCUUUUUUAUGGAUAAUAAGAUUUAGUUACCUUAGGGAUAACAGCGUUAUUAUUUCAGAGAGUUCAUAUUUAUGAAAUAGAUUGCGACCUCGAUGUUGGAUUAAAAUUAGUGCCAGGGGCAGAAUAUUGGUUACUAGGUCUGUUCGACCUUUAAUUUUUUACA